Non-coding RNA from Schistosoma mansoni, 45 nucleotides. The record is from Rfam. NCBI's taxonomy places the organism in Eukaryota, Metazoa, Platyhelminthes, Trematoda, Strigeidida, Schistosomatidae.
GCCCAACUGAAGAGUCCCAAAUAGGACGAAAAUGGAGUUCUGGAU